UACGUAGGGGGCAAGCGUUGUCCGGAAUUACUGGGCGUAAAGCGCGUGUAGGCGGGACGACAAGUCCGGCGUGAAAGGCUCGGGCUCAACCCGAGACGGCCGUUGGAAACUGUCGUUCUUGAGGGUCGAAGAGGAGAGUGGAAUUCCUGGUGUAGCGGUGAAAUGCGUAGAGAUCAGGAGGAACACCCAUGGCGAAGGCAGCCCCCUGGGCUAACACUGACGCUCAUGCACGAAAGCGUGGGGAGCAAACAGG
This 253-nucleotide ribosomal RNA is filed under the name uncultured bacterium. RNAcentral describes it as "partial 16S ribosomal RNA". It matches the Rfam family "Bacterial small subunit ribosomal RNA", at positions 524 to 776 of the family's 1533-position model. The record is from RNAcentral.